GCUGGGCAUGGUGUUGCAUGCCUGUAAUCCCAGCAGUUCCAGAGGCUGAGGCAGGAGGAUCAAAGCCAGCCUCAGCAAUAGCAGGCACUAAGCAACUCAGUUGAGACCCUGUCUCUA
This 117-nucleotide small RNA is filed under the name Marmota monax (woodchuck). The record is from RNAcentral. Lineage: Eukaryota; Metazoa; Chordata; Mammalia; Rodentia; Sciuridae.